AAGUCUGUAAGGGUUGA
This 17-nucleotide unclassified non-coding RNA is filed under the name Mus musculus (house mouse). Its description in RNAcentral is "oocyte_clustered_small_RNA8575". Lineage: Eukaryota; Metazoa; Chordata; Mammalia; Rodentia; Muridae. The record is from RNAcentral.